Dendrobium catenatum is the source of this 107-nucleotide small nucleolar RNA. The record is from RefSeq and is a predicted model, not a curated record. Lineage: Eukaryota; Viridiplantae; Streptophyta; Magnoliopsida; Asparagales; Orchidaceae.
AAAUCAUGGUGAGGACAUUUCUUAAGUAUUUCCUUAAAUCUCCCCUAACUCUCAUAGAUUGAUUCUCCUUUAAAUUGAGAAAAAGAAGUGAUAUCAUUUCUAAGUUU